ACAUCCAGAGAAUUUAGCAGAGAUGCUUUAGUGCCCUUCGGGAACUCUGAGACAGGUGCUGCAUGGCUGUCGUCAGCUCGUGUUGUGAAUGUGGUAGUCCCGNAACGAGCGCAACCCUUAUCCUUUGUUGCCAGCACGUAAUGGUGGGAACUCAAAGGAGACUGCCGGUGAUAAACCGGAGGAAGGUGGGGAUGACGUCAAGUCAUCAUGGCCCUUACGAGUAGGGCUACACACGUGCUACAAUGGCGCAUACAAAGAGAAGCGACCUCGCGAGAGCAAGCGGACCUCAUAAAGUGCGUCGUAGUCCGGAUUGGAGUCUGCAACUCGACUCCAUGAAGUCGGAAUCGCUAGUAAUCGUAAAUCAGAAUGUUACGGUGAAUACGUUCCCGGGCCUUGUACACACCGCCCGUCACACCAUGGGAGUGGGUUGCAAAAGAAGUAGAUAGCUUAACCUUCGGGAGGGCGUUUACCACUUUGUGAUUCAUGACUGGGGUGAAGUCGUAACAAGGUAAGCGUAGUGCU
Molecule: ribosomal RNA, 522 nt
Filed under: uncultured bacterium
Lineage: Bacteria
Description: bacterial SSU rRNA
Rfam family: Bacterial small subunit ribosomal RNA
Source: RNAcentral